Molecule: long non-coding RNA, 1650 nt
Filed under: Cavia porcellus (domestic guinea pig)
Lineage: Eukaryota; Metazoa; Chordata; Mammalia; Rodentia; Caviidae
Description: lncRNA (ENSCPOG00000036589.1)
Source: RNAcentral
CAGGCGGCUGGGCGGCCAUGGAGUCCGAACGCCCUCCGGGCCGGGUUCGGGCCGCGAGCGCCCCCCGCCCACGCCGCCGGCCUGGGACCCUGUGGCUAUGGCCGCUUCAAACCCGCGUUCGAUGAAGGCCGAGGCGCGGUGGCCGAACGCGGAAGGCCUGUGCCAGCGCGCCGUGCGCGCGCCAGUCCCCGCGCCGCCGCAGGGCCCGCCCGUGGGCAGCGGUGUUGCGGGCUUGGAGUUUCCGCUGCCGCAGGAGCCGCAGGCCGCGAACCCAGGGACUCCAGGGACUUGGGCGGGGGCCGUGGCGGGGCGGCGGACGCCUUCGGCGCAAAUCCCCGUACCAGCGCAGAGAGCCCCCCCAGGAAAAGCACGGUUGGACGAGGUCAUGGCUGCGGCAGCCCUAACAAGCCUGUCCACCAGCCCCCUCUGUCUGGAGGCCCCAGCUACAGCCUUCAGCCCAGAGCCCAGCCCAGAUGUGUGGAAGGAAGGUCUAGCACGGCCACCAGGCAGUUACAGCAGCAGCAGUAACAGUGGCGACUGGGGCUGGGACCUGGCCAGUGACCAGUCCUCUCCAUCCACCCCAUCGCCUCCACUGCCCCCCGAGACAGCCCACUUUCUGUUUGGGGAGCCUACCCUGAGGAAGAGGAAGAGCUCGGUCCAGGUCAUGUUCCAGUGCCUGUGGAAGAACUGUGGAAAGGUGCUGAGCACGGCUUCUGGGAUGCAGAGACACAUCCGCCUGGUGCACCUGGGCAGACAGGCGGAGCCAGAGCAGAGCGACGGUGAAGAGGACUUCUACUACACAGAGCUGGACGUCGGUGUGGACGCACUAACCAAUGGGCUGUCCAGUCUGACUCCCAUGACCCCCACAGCCACAGUGCCACCGGCCUUCCCCCAUCUGGAGCUGCAGAGCUGCUCAAGCCCCCAGCUCUACCCAGUCUGCUGCAGCCCUGACUUGGCCCUGGCCCCGCCCCCCAUGCUCAACUCUGUAGCUCCCCAACAGGUGUGCCACAGUGACCAUGCCCACCAGGACUUGGUGGCACCCAUCCACCUGGAGCUUCGGGCCACUGAAGUCCGAGCCUGUACACCAGCCUUGCCCUCUAAGCUUGGUGCCAACCUAAGGAAGCCCCGUGGUGAUGCCAAGAAGUGCCGGAAGGUGUAUGGCAUGGACCACCGGGACCUGUGGUGCACAGCCUGCCGCUGGAAGAAAGCCUGCCAGCGGUUCCUUGACUGAGCCCCACCCACUGGUGUUGCUGCACAGCCCAAGGCUGGGCAACCCUGGGAGUGCCCCAGGUCCAGGCCUGUUUAGGCUGUCGCGUCUGCUUUCUCCUUUGGGAGGGACUGGGUAGUUGUUGAUCCUGGACUUCCAGAGCUGUGGGCGGGGUCCAGCCACUCAAAGUGCCUCUGAAGAAACCAGCUUUUUGCACUAAAGAUAAACCAUACUGCUGCCCUCUUGGCCCCAGGGGCACUGCCCUUCCUCCCUGCUACCCCACAGCUCUGUCAAGGAUGUCAGUGGGGCCAGUCUGAGAUGCACUUUGAGGGGUGUCAGGAAGGGAACUCUCCCACCCGCACAUUUGUGAUGGCUUCGGGCCCUGGGGCUGAUGUUUUACCACGUUCUUGAAGCUCAGGUGUCUCACGUCUGGGCCCUACCAG